Molecule: ribosomal RNA, 450 nt
Filed under: uncultured bacterium
Lineage: Bacteria
Description: partial 16S ribosomal RNA
Rfam family: Bacterial small subunit ribosomal RNA
Source: RNAcentral
CCUACGGGUGGCUGCAGUGGGGAAUAUUGGACAAUGGGCGCAAGCCUGAUCCAGCAAUGCCGCGUGUGUGAAGAAGGCCUGCGGGUUGUAAAGCACUUUCAGUGGGGAGGAAGGCCUCGAUAUUAAUACUAUUGAGGAUUGACGUUACCCACAGAAGAAGCACCGGCUAACUCUGUGCCAGCAGCCGCGGUAAUACAGAGGGUGCAAGCGUUGAUCGGAAUUACUGGGCGUGGUUGCUGAAGAGGGGUGUGAAAGCCCCGGGCUCAACCUGGGAAUUGCAUUUGAGACUGAGUAACUUGAGUAUGGUAGAGGGAAGUGGAAUUUCCAGUGUAGCGGUGAAAUGCGUAGAUAUUGGAAGGAACAUCAGUGGCGAAGGCGACUUCCUGGACCAUUACUGACACUGAGGCACGAAAGCGUGGGGAGCGAACAGGAUUAGAUACCCGGGUAGUC